AUAUGGUCUUACAUUUAGGUCUUUAAUCAAUUUUUGGUUUAUUUUUUUAUAAGGUGUUAUAAAAUGUUAGUAUUAAAAAUGUGAACCAAGAUAGUAAUGAAAAGACCUGCAAAAAAGGGGCACAUUCUAUUUUCCAAAAAUAGCCAUAACAAUAUUUCCCAUCCCACAUGUUCUUCCAGUAACUUAUCAUUCCCCUUUAAGAGGCAGAAUCUGUGACUCCUUCCCAUAAACCUGGCAGGGCUUUGUAACUGCCUCAACUAACAGAAUAUGACAAAAGUGACAUUAUGUGACUUCCAAGGUUAGGUCACAAAAAGUGGUAUUGCUGCUAUCUGGUUCUCCCUCUCUCUGGAUACUUGUUCUUAGAAGCCAGCUGUUGUACUACAAGAAAGACGAGGCAACACAGAGAGGUCUGUGUGAACAGAAACUGAGGCCCCUAGCCAUUGGCCCCAGCUGAGCUUCUUGCCAACAUCAAGCAGCAACAAAUGGCCAUAUGGAAGUAGAUCUUUCAGCUCUCAUUUGAGCUACCCAGAUGAAACCACAUGGAGCAAAGACAAGCCUUCCAAACUGAGCUUUGCCCCAAUUGCAAAUUUGAGGGCAAAAUAAAUUAUUGGUAUUGUUUUAGUUAACUGUUGGGGUGACUUGCUAUGCAGCAAUAGAUUGUUGUUGUUUUGUUGCUAAGUUGUAUCUAACUCUUUGCCACCCCAUGAACUGUAUAGCCCACCAGACUCCUCUGUCUAUGGGAUUUUUCAGGCAAGAAUACUGGAUAACGUUGCCAUUUCCUUCUCCAGGGGAUCUUCCUGACCCAAGGAUUGAAACCACAUCUCCUGGAAUAGCAGGCGGGUUCUUUACCACUGAGCCAUCAGGGAAAUGCAGCAGUGGAUCACCAGGACAAAAAGGGCCAGUGGAAGAAAGAAUUAUUGGUGUAGCAACCAAUAGGCAUACUGAUGAAUUCUGGUCAGAAGAUUACAAAGAAGAACAGAAGAGGAAAAGAUAUAGUCAAAGGAUCAGCAGUGGAGACAUUGGAAAAAGCAGGACCUCACACUGGAAAGUCUCAAAAGGAAGUGAAAGCAGGAGCCAAACUGCUGGGCCCAGAGUGGGUGGAAUGAAAAAGAUAGAUGGUUGUAGAAGAGAUAACUAA
This is a long non-coding RNA of Bos indicus x Bos taurus (hybrid cattle), 1138 nucleotides long. The record is from Ensembl. NCBI's taxonomy places the organism in Eukaryota, Metazoa, Chordata, Mammalia, Artiodactyla, Bovidae.